GGAUGCGAUCAUACCAGCACUAAAGCAUCGGAUCCCAUCAGAACUCCGAAAUUAAGCGUGCUUGGGCGAGAGUAGUACUAGGAUGGGUGACCUCCUGGGAAGUCCUCGUGUUGCAUUCC
Molecule: ribosomal RNA, 119 nt
Filed under: Triticum aestivum (bread wheat)
Lineage: Eukaryota; Viridiplantae; Streptophyta; Magnoliopsida; Poales; Poaceae
Source: RNAcentral